RNAcentral lists this ribosomal RNA (253 nucleotides) under uncultured bacterium. RNAcentral's name for it is "partial 16S ribosomal RNA". It matches the Rfam family "Bacterial small subunit ribosomal RNA", at positions 524 to 776 of the family's 1533-position model. The record is from RNAcentral.
UACGAAGGGGGCUAGCGUUGCUCGGAAUCACUGGGCGUAAAGCGCACGUAGGCGGAUUGUUAAGUCAGGGGUGAAAUCCUGGAGCUCAACUCCAGAACUGCCUUUGAUACUGGCAAUCUCGAGUCCGGGAGAGGUGAGUGGAACUGCGAGUGUAGAGGUGAAAUUCGUAGAUAUUCGCAAGAACACCAGUGGCGAAGGCGGCUCACUGGCCCGGUACUGACGCUGAGGUGCGAAAGCGUGGGGAGCAAACAGG